UGUUUCUAUUUUUCUAAUUAAAAGUCACGACUUAGGAUAUAGGACCUGAAUCACUGAAGAAAUGGUGUAGAAAAGUUGGGUUUAUCUUCUUUCUUACCGUAGGAUUGAUGGGGUCAGAAUAGUAGGCACCCAAGAAGGAUUUAUAAUCUGAUGGCCUAGUAUUGAGACAAAGUAGAAGCAAGAUUUUAAUUGCUGUGAGGCAGAGAUUGGAAUUCAAAAAGGGCAGAACUGAAAAGAGGUAGGCAUGUGACAGGAUUUUGACCAAGGUCUCUAAUACCCAAGUUCUUGUACUUUACCCACCAAACAGCCUCUCAGUGAGUUGAUAGGGAAGAAAAGGAAUAAAGUGCUUGGCACUUACUAAUUCCCCAUGGACAUUAAUUCCCUUUCUUUCCUCCCUAGGUUUUAUUGUUCAUAACAGUGGCCUGUUAUUUGGGUUAGAGUGAAGGUCAACAACUUGGGACUUCUUUAGCCUUCCCUUCUUGAAUCUCCCCUUCCCUGUUGAUACCUUGCCUAUCCUACAGGGUGGUCAUGAAGAUUAAAAGUAUUAGUACAUCUUAAGUGCCUAGAAUGGAGCUUGGCUCAUCAUAACUGCACAAAUCUAGGGAUGCCCUCUUGGGCAGUGGUUACGGCAAGAAAACAGUCAUAGUACCAGGCUUCCAAGACUGAUCUGAUCCUCCCUAUGGCAUGUGCAACUUUAUACAUGGCAUCAAGAGUGGCCAUACAGCUUCCUAUCACCCACCCCAGUAAGUAAUAUGAGACACAGCACAAGAUAGGCAAGUACAUGGUCUUUUACCUGAGUGGCCCAGACCUGGGAAACAACAGGUUAGCAAUACCUAGCAAUGCUUUGCUAUUACAGUAAGAUAUUAAUAGAGAAAAAGGACAGCUUCUAUUAAUUCUCUUGGCAGAGUCCAUUCUAGUUAUGAUGUUUUCUUGUCCUUUGUUCAUUUAUUAUGGAAUUUGGCUUUUUUUUUUUUUUUUUCAUCAUAGAAUUACUGAUCUUACAGUGCUCCAGGUUGCUGGGAAUACAAAGACAUGAGUUCCUACCUUCAUGGCAUUCACAUGGUGAUAAGACAAAGGGAUACAUGUACUUCCAACAGUGUGUACUAGACUGGGUAUUCUAAAAUACAUAAACAAAGGUUUGUGGGACCACAGUGGGUGAGAACUGUCCUGGGCAUUGGAGGAUGCAUAGAAAGAAUUUAUUAGGCAAGGUAGGGGGGAGGAGGAGAGAAGAGGACAUUUUAGAAAAGCAAUUUGUAAGCUGUGCUUUUCCUCUUCCUCUCCAAAGCCUAAGGGCAGGCGAGUCCUCCCCAGUGUGCUCUGUGAGAGGGAGCUUUUGACACUUCAACUAAAGGCCAGGCUUGAGCUGUCAGCAUAUGGAUUCAUGUAUCUUCUCAUUCUGAUUCAAGUACAAUUAAGUAACCUAAAAAAUAACAUUAAAACUGGAAAAGCUUGUUACUGGUCAUCUGGAUUCAGAGUAAAAUGUUCACACUAUGAUAUUUAUGACAAAUUGAAUUAGUAAGAAGUCUAAAAUAUAGAAAUAUUUUAUAAAUAUAGUUUUAUUACUUGGAAAUACAUACAAAAAUUCAAACACAGCUAAAAAACAGUGGCCAAGCAGAGGUCCUAUCCAACCUGUUUUAAUGAACACAUAAAACAGUUGUCAUCAGCAUAAAACAAUUUAAGUUCUGAAACAACUUACUGUCUUCAGAGUCUGUAAAUAUUGAGUUUAAAAAUUGACUACUGUUUUCUUAUCACCUAUUUAAAUCUUUUCUCCAAAUAUAGACUAUUUAAACAUUUGUUUGGUUCAGUGAGAUGUUUUAUUUAGAAAAAUAGCUAAAGCCAUUUAACUACAAUUAUUUUGAAAACUGUAAUACUAUUCAUUUCCAGUCUUCUGUCACCUAUACAUUCUGCAUGAUUUCUCAAAAAUCUCCAGUAGUUGCUAAAAGAAAGCACUUGUAACUUCCAGCAGCUCUUUGGGACACUGAAGUUUGGUCUUAAGAGCCCUGACAUUUUUUAGUUAAGGUGGCAAGAUUGUUUUUAUUUCUCAUUUUUGCUUUUUUGUUUAUGUCAUUUUAGUUUGGCCCCGCUAGCCUAUAUCUCAUCAGAGAAAAAAUAGUGAGUUAUUCUGCUUUUCUUGAUUAUUAAUCCAUUAAACUCAUCUAUUCUUUUUGCCCCCAGGUUUUUCUCUUUUUUUUUAAUGGCUUCUUGGCAACUUUAGCACUUUCUGCAAAUUUAAGCUCAUCCUGAGAUUUAAUAUUUCAAAACACUUUUAUAUUUCACUCUUUUUGGCCUCUAUCAU
Leopardus geoffroyi (Geoffroy's cat) is the source of this 2296-nucleotide long non-coding RNA. RefSeq lists it as uncharacterized. The transcript is spliced from 2 exons. The record is from RefSeq and is a predicted model, not a curated record. NCBI's taxonomy places the organism in Eukaryota, Metazoa, Chordata, Mammalia, Carnivora, Felidae.